RNAcentral lists this long non-coding RNA (498 nucleotides) under Salmo salar (Atlantic salmon). Its description in RNAcentral is "lncRNA (ENSSSAG00000119739.1)". Lineage: Eukaryota; Metazoa; Chordata; Actinopteri; Salmoniformes; Salmonidae. The record is from RNAcentral.
CACCAAAGGAACAGAGGAGAAGUAGGAUAAGAAUACGGUUAAAGGCUAAAAGAACUGGUCAUCUAGUGCGUUCGGAACAGAGUAAAAGGAGCAGAUUUCUGGAAGCGGAAGAAUAGAUUCAAGGCAUAAUGUACAGACAAGGGUAUGGUAGGAUGUGAGUACAGUGGAGAGGACUCAAGCCCUAGGACCAUGCCUCAGGACUACCUGGCCUGAUGACUCCUUGCUGUCCCCAGUCCACCUGGUCCUGCUGCUGCUCCAGUUUCAAUUGUUCUGCCUGUGGCUAUGGAACACUAACCUGUUCACCGGACGUGCUACCUUGUCCCAAAACUGCUGUUUUGGACUCUCUCUCUACCGUACCUGCUGUCUCUAACUCUGAAUGAUCGGCUAUGAAAAGCCAACUGACAUUUACUCCUGAGGUGCUGACCUAUAAUCUCCACCCAGCACAGCCAGAAGAGGACUGGCCACCCCUCAGAGCCUGGUUCCUUUCUAGGUUUCUUC